CCACCUAUACCGCACCAGCCUCGGCCACAUCAGCAUCAUUAGCAGCCACCAAACCAGAAAAUAAUGCUCUUGCAACACACUCAUAAUCUUUCAAUACUCCCCCACAUCCCGCUCUACCUUUUUUUUCCACCCUACACACAUUAAACUAUAACCAUCCAAGAGGAGGAGGUUGCCAAAAUAUAGCUGUUGAUUUGGUUACGCAAGUAUCAAAACACCACCUGUUCGGACAAAACCUCCAAAAACUCUC
RNAcentral lists this long non-coding RNA (247 nucleotides) under Gossypium barbadense (sea-island cotton). Its description in RNAcentral is "long non-coding RNA (GBAR_LNC003451)". The record is from RNAcentral. Lineage: Eukaryota; Viridiplantae; Streptophyta; Magnoliopsida; Malvales; Malvaceae.